Molecule: ribosomal RNA, 492 nt
Filed under: uncultured bacterium
Lineage: Bacteria
Description: partial 16S ribosomal RNA
Rfam family: Bacterial small subunit ribosomal RNA
Source: RNAcentral
AGUGAACGCUGGCGGUAGGCCUAACACAUGCAAGUCGAACGGCAGCACAGUAAGAGCUUGCUCUUACGGGUGGCGAGUGUCGGACGGGUGAGGAAUACAUCGGAAUCUACUUUUUCGUGGGGGAUAACGUAGGGAAACUUACGCUAAUACCGCAUACGACCUACGGGUGAAAGCAGGGGAUCUUCGGACCUUGCGCGAUUGAAUGAGCCGAUGUCGGAUUAGCUAGUUGGCGGGGUAAAGGCCCACCAAGGCGACGAUCCGUAGCUGGUCUGAGAGGAUGAUCAGCCACACUGGAACUGAGACACGGUGCAGACUCCUACGGGAGGCAGCAGUGGGGAAUAUUGGACAAUGGGCGCAAGCCGGAUCCAGCCAUACCGCGUGGGUGAAGAAGGCCUUCGGGUUGUAAAGCCCUUUUGUUGGGAAAGAAAAGCAGCAGGUUAAUACCCCGCUGUUCUGACGGUACCCAAAGAAUAAGCACCGGCUAACUUCGUG